CGCUGGGGAGCCGGGUGCGCCAGGCUGGGGACCUUGCGUGGGGCAGGGCUUGGCUCAGCCGAGGGGCCGCGGCUCAGCCCCCCUCACCGGCCUUAAAGGUUCCCAGAGACGCAAAGUCGGACGCGGGUCCUGAGCGCGGAGCUACAGGGGGGAGCAUGGGGCAGCCCCCAAGGCGCGCUCCCUGCAUUUCCCACCCUUUCCACGCUGCCCUGCGCGCACGGUCGGGCGCCCUUGGGGUGGGCAGGGAGGCGCGGGCAGGGGCAGCGCCGAAGACCUCCCGCCGCCAUGGAGAAGGGGCUCCCCACCCACCCUCCUGCCCCAACCAUUAUAGAUCCCAGCCAGUGCGCCCCGCGCCCUUCCGGGACAAGCUGCCCCCAGGACCACCGUGCCCCAGUAUCAAGCGGACAGCAAAUCUCUCGGUGGCUCCUUUUGUAAGGGUUUCUGCCCUCAGGGUUGUUACGGGACAGAAAUGGUUUCAUCAGAAACAAGCCCUCCUCGCACACUCACAGUUUGCAGGACUCCGAACUGGGCCCGCGAGAUCUCCACCUGCGCAAAACGAAAGGGCGGAUUCUCCUUGGACUCACGAGGCAACCGCUCCCCGGGGUGAGAACGGGGGACUCAUUCCUCCGGCACUGGGAGAAGACGAUUCUUUAGGAGGAGGACAGGGAAGCGAAUGCUACCCAGGUGCGUAAUCACAUUUGGGCACCCUCGGGGGCCUGAGAGGAGGCCAGGGGUGACCUGCCCCCAUUCUCACAGGGGAGGGGCGGUGAGCCUAUUCUCACAGGUGUCUGUGAUGAGCCCAUGUUUUCCAAACUCCUCCGUGAUUCUAGAACAGUGCUAGAGAAGCCGUGAGCCAGCUGGCAGAUGUCUCAGUAUACUGGCUCGCGGCACAUCGGGCAAAUGAACCUAUCAGAUAACAACGGCAGAUCAGAUGCCUGAGCAUUCAGAAGCAACAGCUGUGGAGCCCCCGUGGGUUCAGAAGGCCUGGUUCCCGUCUCCAGAAGCCUGGCUCUCCUCCCUCCUGGGCCCACUACUUUGGCUUCUUGUUCCUACGUACAAGGAGUUGCGAAGAAGGCAACUCUUCCCCUCCCUGAAGCCAAAGGAAUGAAACAGACUAGGGCGGGAGAGGUGGCCAUCCGUCAUUAGUUGCGGCCAUCAGUAACAGCAACAGGACACGGAACCUAAGGCUGUAUCCAUCCUGGGCCCCCAGGGAAACAUCAGCGGGAGCGGUACUAAGGAAGUGCUCAUCUCUUAGAGACAAAGGCCCAUGGAGGGGAACAGUAACCAUCCCCUCCCAAUUCAGAAAAUGUUAACAUAAGCACUUCAUUUCUCAUGCAGAUAACCACAUAAGUCUAUUAAUAAGAAAGAAAGAGAAAGAAAAAAAAGAAAAAGGAAUCCAUGCCAGCAGGGUAUAGGAAUUGGUCUAUAGGAGAAAGGGUCACCCACUGAAAGGUGGGCUGAAUAGAAUUCCUUGCCUGGGCUUUGAGGUCCUGGCAUGGAGAAGGCUGUAGAAAUGCUGGCAUCAGUGGAACCCUCAAUAAACAGAAUUCUUGUUAAA
This 1558-nucleotide long non-coding RNA is filed under the name Homo sapiens (human). RNAcentral describes it as "HSALNT0290194". Lineage: Eukaryota; Metazoa; Chordata; Mammalia; Primates; Hominidae. The record is from RNAcentral.